GUGAAUCAUCGAAUUUUUGAACGCAAAUUGCACUCCCUGGUAUUCCGGGGAGUAUGCCUGUUUGAGGGUCGGUAGAACAAUAAUCGAAGCGUCUCUCUUUUUUAUUCAGGGGGCUCGCGUCGGAAUAUAGCCGUCUUUCAAAUGCUAAUUCAUGUCAAAUGGGCUUGAAUUUUAUCCACCCGU
This 183-nucleotide unclassified non-coding RNA is filed under the name Glomeraceae sp. Its description in RNAcentral is "partial contains 5.8S ribosomal RNA and internal transcribed spacer 2". The stretch from base 1 to 71 matches the Rfam family "5.8S ribosomal RNA", at positions 84 to 154 of the family's 154-position model. Lineage: Eukaryota; Fungi; Glomeromycota; Glomeromycetes; Glomerales; Glomeraceae. The record is from RNAcentral.